This 633-nucleotide long non-coding RNA is filed under the name Carica papaya (papaya). RNAcentral's name for it is "long non-coding RNA (CPAP_LNC010537)". Lineage: Eukaryota; Viridiplantae; Streptophyta; Magnoliopsida; Brassicales; Caricaceae. The record is from RNAcentral.
GAGACAAGCUUUGCUGCAAAGGAGGCGGAGCCAUCAAGAGCAUUGAGAUUCUUCAACCGCCGGCAAAACCCAAAGAGCCGGAAAAGCCUAAACCUGCACCGGCACCGGCGCCGGAAAAACCUAAAGAAGCAGAGAAGCCCAAACCUCCGCAGGAGAAGCCAAAAGAGGCAGAGAAGCCAAAACCGGCGCCGCCUAAGGAGGCUGAGAAGCCAAAGCCGGUGCUGGUAAAGCCCAAAGAGGCGGAGAAGCCAAAACCGGCGCCGGAAAAACCGAAAGAGGCAGAGAAGCCUAAAGCUCCGCCAGCUGCUGAUAAGCCAAAAGAGGCAGAGAAGCCUAAAGCUCCGCCAGCGGCAGAGAAGCCAAAGGAAAAGCCGCCGGAGCCCAAACCGGGGCCGGUCCCCGUUCCGGCAUUCCCGCCGCCGCAAGUGUUCCAAGCGUGUUGUGAGCCGUGCUACCAUGGUCAUGGUUGGGGAGCACCACCGCCGCCAUGCUACGAGACGUUCGGUAGGCCGGUGUUUGACAGCUGGGGCGGCGGCGGCGGCGCGUACAGGCCGUGUUAUAACGUCAACAGAUGUGAUUAUUUUUGUGAAGAGAAUUCUCAAGGCUGCACCGUUAUGUGAAUCAGUGUAAUUU